RNAcentral lists this ribosomal RNA (301 nucleotides) under uncultured bacterium. Its description in RNAcentral is "partial 16S ribosomal RNA". It matches the Rfam family "Bacterial small subunit ribosomal RNA", at positions 509 to 807 of the family's 1533-position model. The record is from RNAcentral.
CAGUCGCCACGGUAAUACAGAGGGUGCGAGCGUUAAUCGGAUUUACUGGGCGUAAAGCGUGCGUAGGCGGCUAAUUGAGUCGGAUGUGAAAUCCCCGAGCUUAACUUGGGAAUUGCAUUCGAUACUGGUUAGCUAGAGUGUGGGAGAGGAUGGUAGAAUUCCAGGUGUAGCGGUGAAAUGCGUAGAGAUCUGGAGGAAUACCGAUGGCGAAGGCAGCCAUCUGGCAUAACACUGACGCUGAGGUACGAAAGCAUGGGGAGCAAACAGGAUUAGAUACCCCCGUAGUCCCUGUCUCUUAUAC